CCCUUGGCUAUUCCGAGGGGCAUGCCUGUUUGAGUAUCAUGAACACCUCAACUCUCAUGGUUUGCCAUGAUGAGCUUGGAUUUUGGGGGUUUUGCUGGCCUGUGGUCAGCUCCUCUCAAAUGGAUCAGCUUACCAGUAUUUGGUGGCGUCACAGGUGUGAUAACUAUCUACGCUUGUGGUUGUCUGCUGAGUAACCUUUGGUGACAGAGGUUCGCUGGAGCUUAUAAAUGUCUUUCCUCAGUGAAGACAGCUUUUUGACCGUUCGAUCUCAAAUCAGGUAGGACUACCCGCUGAACUUAAGCAUAUCAAUAAGCGGAGG
This 319-nucleotide ribosomal RNA is filed under the name uncultured Tomentella. RNAcentral's name for it is "eukaryotic LSU rRNA". The stretch from base 264 to 319 matches the Rfam family "Eukaryotic large subunit ribosomal RNA", at positions 1 to 56 of the family's 3401-position model. The record is from RNAcentral. Lineage: Eukaryota; Fungi; Basidiomycota; Agaricomycetes; Thelephorales; Thelephoraceae.